CCUACGGGAGGCAGCAGUGGGGAAUAUUGCGCACUGGGCGAAAGCCUGACGCAGCGACGCCGCGUGAGGGAUGAAGGUCUUCGGAUCGUAAACCUCUGUCAGCAGGGAAGAACGGUCACUGUGCUAAUCAGCAGUGAAUUGACGGUACCUGCAAAGGAAGCACCGGCUAACUCCGUGCCAGCCGCCGCGGUAAUACGGAGGGUGCGAGCGUUAAUCGGAAUUACUGGGCGUAAAGCGCUCGUAGGCGGUAUGUCAAGUCAAGGGUGAAAUCCCCGCGCUCAACGUGGGAACUGCCUUUGAAGCUGGCAAACUGGAGUGUGUGAGAGGAUAGUGGAAUUCCAGGUGUAGGAGUGAAAUCCGUAGAUAUCUGGAGGAACAUCAGUGGCGAAGGCGACUAUCUGGCACAUAACUGACGCUGAGGAGCGAAAGCGUGGGUAGCAAACAGGAUUAGAUACCCCAGUAGUC
RNAcentral lists this ribosomal RNA (465 nucleotides) under uncultured bacterium. RNAcentral's name for it is "partial 16S ribosomal RNA". It matches the Rfam family "Bacterial small subunit ribosomal RNA", at positions 338 to 795 of the family's 1533-position model. The record is from RNAcentral.